RNAcentral lists this ribosomal RNA (1632 nucleotides) under Triticum aestivum (bread wheat). RNAcentral's name for it is "partial small subunit ribosomal RNA". The record is from RNAcentral. Lineage: Eukaryota; Viridiplantae; Streptophyta; Magnoliopsida; Poales; Poaceae.
AUGGCCUCUUUCGCCUCCGUUGCGACCCUCCCCUCUCCCUCCUGCUCCUCCUCCGACGAUGACUAUAACGACGCCAAGCCCCUCCCGCCUCUACCCGCAUCGAAAGAAAUACGCCCUCCUCCGCAGCACCAGCACCAGCACCAGCAGCAGCCGCAGCGGCGGCAGCUGGAGCGCGACUGCAACGUGGCCAUGAAGGCCGCGCGCGCGGGCGACGUCGACCAGGUGCUCGCCCGCUUCGCCGAGCUCAGGGCUUCAGGGACCCCCAGUGUGCUCUGCUACAACACUCUCAUGAACGCGCUCGUGGAAGCUGGCCAUGUGAAGGACGCCCACGACGCGUUCGGCGAAAUGCUUGCGGCAGGGGUGGCGCCCAAUGCGUCGUCCUGUAACAUCCUUCUCAAGCUGCACUCGUGGAUCUCUGACGACGACGACGACUCUCCGUACAAGGCGAUUCUCUGGAUGCGAGAGGCUGGGGUGGAACCUGACGUGGGUACGUACUCCACACUUAUCACGGGGCUGUGCCGUGCGGGGAGGCUCCCCGAGGCAUGGGGUGUGCUUGAGUGCAUGCUGGAACAGGGGUGCCGUCCCAUGGUGCAUACUUACACGCCCAUUGUACAGGGAUAUUGCCGCGAGGGCCGCGUCGGGGAGGCCAUGGACCUGAUGGCCACGAUGGAAGCUGCUGAUUGCCCUCCCAAUGUAGUCACCUACAAUGUUCUGAUCAGGGCUUUGUGUGAUGCCGCCAAAUUUAAGGAAGUCAAGCAGAUUUUAAAGGAGAGUAGAACCAAGGAUUGGACGCCCAGUAUUGUCACCUACAAUACGUUUAUGAACGGUCUCUGCCAGAAAGGUAAGGCUAAGGAAGCACUUGUGCUGCUGGGUGUUAUGCUGGGCAAAGGGUUGGAUCCCACAGAUUUUACUUUGAGCAUUCUUCUGAAUUGCCUUUGCCAUGCCUCAAGGAUUUCCCAUGCCAGAUUCUUGCUAGAGAGGAGUACGUCAUCGAGAUGGUAUGCUGGUGUUGUUGCAUACGACACUGUGAUGGGCAGGUUAUGUAAAAUGGGACAUUGGAGGGGUGUUCUGAAGCUGUUGACAGACAUGAUCAAGAAAGGUGUGAUGCCAAACACGAGGACAUUCAACAUUGUCAUUCGUAGUCUUUGUAUUGGUCGAAAGUGCUCCGCAGCCAAGAGCCUGGUCUGUAACCAAGGGUUUGCUGCAAAUGUCGUGACAUACAAUACACUGAUUGAUUGGUUUUUCUACCAUCGAAAGCGUAGUGAGGUGGGCCACCUAAUGUGUGACAUGGCAGCAGGAAAUAUUGCUGUAGAUGAAGUUACUUACACUAUAUUCGUUGUUGGAUUAUGCAGAGAUGGAAAUUUUGCUAAGGCCAGUAGUUGCUUUCUAGAAUCGCUAGAGAAUGGACUGUCAAUGGAUCUUCUUGGCGUCCUUAUAAACAGGCUCGCUUACAAUGGCAAAAUCCCGGAGACUAUUCGCAUAUUCCAGAAUAUGAGAGAAAGAAAAGGGCUUUUCCUAGAUAAUUCUAUAUUUGACCUCACAAUUGAAAGAUUCUGUAGGGCCGGUUAUUGUCAUGACAAAUAUAUACAUAAUCUUAACUCUAUUCUGGAUGCAAUGUUGGGAAAGCAGUGA